This 586-nucleotide unclassified non-coding RNA is filed under the name Bombus terrestris (buff-tailed bumblebee). RNAcentral's name for it is "misc RNA ENSBTSG00005032169.1". The record is from RNAcentral. Lineage: Eukaryota; Metazoa; Arthropoda; Insecta; Hymenoptera; Apidae.
AAAAAGAAAAAACUUUCCUCGAAACAGGUUAGUUCAUAGGGUUGGAACAACGAGAGGACGCGGGGAGUGCACCGGCAGUAAUUUCCAAAAGGUCUCGGGUCACUGCUGCCAAACGCGUAAAUAGGCCACCGUGGAGUUUUCGUCGGUAGGAGGCUGACACUACUCCACUAAUUCUCCAGAAUGCAGCAGAGUGGCCAGGAAGAUUUCUCCACGUAGAAGAAAAAAAGAGAGAAGGUGUUGAAGCAUGUAAAUAGAGCACGCACAUGUUCGCACGACAAUGUUAAAAAUCUGAGCAUAAUGGAAAUGUACGUAUAACAGAUACUCACGGGAAAAACCAACGAGUCUAAUAAUAAAAUCAAUAAAUUAGAAAAAAAGAGCUAUAGGCACAUAUCUUAUAAUAUACAGUGGCAUAAUCUGCAAUCUAUUCUAAAAUAAUUGAUCCGAGCGGAAUCUAUUAUAAAAGAAGGUUGCUGAAUAUGAUAGACAUUGUCGAAUACUAAUCGAAUAAAAUCAUUUAGUUAAUUGUCAUAGAACCUGAUAUUUCUUCGAAGAAUCAAUAAGUCUCUCGCUAAUAGCCUAAUAGAUC